GCACUGGUAGCUCAGAAUCAAAGCGCUGGCCUUGUAAGCCAGAGAUCGGGAGUGAAACUCUCCCCCAUUGUA
Molecule: transfer RNA, 72 nt
Filed under: Champsodon cf. snyderi CBM-ZF 10876
Lineage: Eukaryota; Metazoa; Chordata; Actinopteri; Acropomatiformes; Champsodontidae
Description: tRNA-Thr
Rfam family: tRNA
About the family: Transfer RNA (tRNA) molecules are approximately 80 nucleotides in length.
Source: RNAcentral